CCUACGGGUGGCUGCAGUGGGGAAUAUUGCACAAUGGGCGCAAGCCUGAUGCAGCCAUGCCGCGUGUGUGAAGAAGGCCUUCGGGUUGUAAAGCACUUUCAGCGGGGAGGAAGGCGGUGGGGUUAAUAACCUCAUCGAUUGACGUUACCCGCAGAAGAAGCACCGGCUAACUCCGUGCCAGCAGCCGCGGUAAUACGGAGGGUGCAAGCGUUAAUCGGAAUUACUGGGCGUAAAGCGCACGCAGGCGGUCUGUCAAGUCGGAUGUGAAAUCCCCGGGCUCAACCUGGGAACUGCAUUCGAAACUGGCAGGCUAGAGUCUUGUAGAGGGGGGUAGAAUUCCAGGUGUAGCGGUGAAAUGCGUAGAGAUCUGGAGGAAUACCGGUGGCGAAGGCGGCCCCCUGGACAAAGACUGACGCUCAGGUGUGAAAGCGUGGGGAGCAAACAGGAUUAGAUACCCCGGUAGUC
This 465-nucleotide ribosomal RNA is filed under the name uncultured Klebsiella sp. RNAcentral describes it as "bacterial SSU rRNA". It matches the Rfam family "Bacterial small subunit ribosomal RNA", at positions 338 to 795 of the family's 1533-position model. Lineage: Bacteria; Pseudomonadati; Pseudomonadota; Gammaproteobacteria; Enterobacterales; Enterobacteriaceae. The record is from RNAcentral.